This 301-nucleotide ribosomal RNA is filed under the name uncultured bacterium. Its description in RNAcentral is "partial 16S ribosomal RNA". It matches the Rfam family "Bacterial small subunit ribosomal RNA", at positions 509 to 808 of the family's 1533-position model. The record is from RNAcentral.
CAGCAGCCGCGGGAAUACAGAGGGUGCAAGCGUUAAUCGGAAUUACUGGGCGUAAAGCGCGCGUAGGUGGUUUGUUAAGUUGGAUGUGAAAUCCCCGGGCUCAACCUGGGAACUGCAUCCAAAACUGGCAAGCUAGAGUAUGGUAGAGGGUGGUGGAAUUUCCUGUGUAGCGGUGAAAUGCGUAGAUAUAGGAAGGAACACCAGUGGCGAAGGCGACCACCUGGACUGAUACUGACACUGAGGUGCGAAAGCGUGGGGAGCAAACAGGAUUAGAUACCCCAGUAGUCCCUGUCUCUUAACA